AUCUUCUUUGUUAAUAGGGUGGUCCAUAUGGUGGAAAUUGGAAUGCGUCUGAGUCAGGUAAGUGGCAAAAGAAUACAUAUCUUUUAAAAUUUGAGAUGCUUUUUAUGUGUUUAUAAAGAUUAGUAUGGUAAAGUCACAUAUGGUGAGACAAUUUAGUUAUGGGCACAUAUUUGUUACUGUAGAGACUUAAAGAUAAAGAAGAAAGUUAGUUGGUGUGUAUGGAAAUAUAUUGCCGUGACGAAUCUCAAUGUUGGUAUUUGGGGACCAGGUCACCGUCCAUUGAGUUAUGCUGAUUUGAAAUUUGAUUUUGAUUUCAUUAUCGUAAGUGGGGGGAAGUGCAUGAUUUUCUUGGUAUAAAGUAAAAUAAACAUGUUAAAUUGAUCUGAAAAAGUUUUAUAUUUAAUGGCCUCACUGUUAGUAUGUGGUAUUGUUUUUGUUGAGAAAAUUAUAUGGUUUAGUUAGUUAAGUCUUGGUGAAGUUCUUUAGAGUUUUAAGUAUUGGUGGUUUCAAAUUUUGUAAUUAGCUUGUUGGGGGUUAAGUUGUUUCCCCUUUCUAUUGUAAUUAGAUUUAAUUGGAUUCAACGAUGACAUAUUUCUCUGCUCUGCUCUGAUACCGUAUGAAUAAUUGGUGGUUUAGUUACUGAUGAAUUGAAUAAAAUUACAAGCUCGUUUUAUUAUUUAUUCAUAAGUUGUAUGAUAUCAGAGUAGAGAAAUAUUUCAUCAUUGAAUCAAUGAUCAUCUACUAGAGAACACAUUGCACCCACAAAUGCCUGCUAUUUACAUCUUAGAGUAAACAAGCUUGAUAGUUGUUUCCCCACCAAUGAAUAAAACACAAUUAUGAUAUUUGGAGUUGUCACAUGAAAUGUGCCCUAGUUUCUGAAAAUUGAAUCAAAUUCAUCAAUGGCAAGAUCAAACAACUAGCUGAAGAUGGUCCCUUCUUUGAAGUGUGGGAAAGAUACAGUGGAAUUAUGAUUUAUUGGAUUGGAUUGCAGGUACGGAGCUAAAAUAGGUCAAAUGCGAUGGAAUCGACAUAACUUGAAAUAUGACACAGCAUAACAAGAUUCGAGCUUGGGGGGUUUUGGGAGGUCAAAAAUCCAAGCUGCAGAAAUCACGAAAAGAGACCAAAUCUGCCUUUUAUAUUAGAAUGGUUUCAGAUUUUAUAAUUAGAAGCAAUUUGAAGCGUGCUUUUACGUUUCAAUUUAUAGAAUCUCAAUGGAGGUAUUCACUGGACACAAGAUGGAUGAAAGCAAAAAGAAUUUCACUAAAGUUUAACUUGGAUACGAAGAAUGUUAACUCCAUCAAAAAAGACCAAAGAAUACCAUAAAGGUCCUUGUGGUUUGGAGAACAUGUACAGAAAACAUUGGCCAUAUACCUCUCUUGUUCUCCCAUCCAUUUUUUUUUCUUUUAAAAUGGAAAAUCUGUCGGAAUAUUUUAAGGAAACUUCUACGGUACAACUCACAAAUUAAGUGCAGCCACAAAUAGAUAGUCAAAUCAUCACAAAGGUGUAUUUCGAGUAAGUGGCAAUAUAUUGUUGUUCAUAGCAUGUUUUUUGUCCAUAAUAUUUUUUAAUUGGCAACAGCCGAAACUAACAAUAUUUUCAUGAGGUAGUCAUAUGGAUAGCACUUGUGUGCCAUUAUGUUAUAUAACAGUGAC
This 1652-nucleotide long non-coding RNA is filed under the name Medicago truncatula (barrel medic). Its description in RNAcentral is "long non-coding RNA (MTRU_LNC002790)". Lineage: Eukaryota; Viridiplantae; Streptophyta; Magnoliopsida; Fabales; Fabaceae. The record is from RNAcentral.